Molecule: ribosomal RNA, 450 nt
Filed under: uncultured bacterium
Lineage: Bacteria
Description: bacterial SSU rRNA
Rfam family: Bacterial small subunit ribosomal RNA
Source: RNAcentral
GUGGGGAAUAUUGGACAAUGGGCGAAAGCCUGAUCCAGCCAUGCCGCGUGUGUGAAGAAGGUCUUCGGAUUGUAAAGCACUUUAAGUUGGGAGGAAGGGCAGUAAGUUAAUACCUUGCUGUUUUGACGUUACCGACAGAAUAAGCACCGGCUAACUUCGUGCCAGCAGCCGCGGUAAUACGAAGGGUGCAAGCGUUAAUCGGAAUUACUGGUCGUAAAGCGCGCGUAGGUGGUUUUGUAAGUUGGAGGUGAAAUCCCCGGGCUCAACCUGGGAACUGCCUCAAAAACUGCAUGACUAGAGUACGGUAGAGGGUAGUGGAAUUUCCUGUGUAGCGGUGAAAUGCGUAGAUAUAGGAAGGAACACCAGUGGCGAAGGCGACUACCUGGACUGAUACUGACACUGAGGUGCGAAAGCGUGGGGAGCAAACAGGAUUAGAUACCCGUGUAGUCC